GAUGAACGCUGGCGGCGUGCCUAAUACAUGCAAGUCGAGCGAACGGACGAGAAGCUUGCUUCUCUGAUGUUAGCGGCGGACGGGUGAGUAGCACGUGGAUAACCUACCUAUAAGACUGGGAUAACUUCGGGAAACCGGAGCUAAUACCGGAUAAUAUUUUGAACCGCAUGGUUCAAAAGUGAAAGACGGUCUUGCUGUCACCUAUAGAUGGAUCCGCGCUGCAUUAGCUAGUUGGUAAGGUAACGGCUUACCAAGGCAACGAUGCAUAGCCGACCUGAGAGGGUGAUCGGCCACACUGGAACUGAGACACGGUCCAGACUCCUACGGGAGGCAGCAGUAGGGAAUCUUCCGCAAUGGGCGAAAGCCUGACGGAGCAACGCCGCGUGAGUGAUGAAGGUCUUCGGAUCGUAAAACUCUGUUAUUAGGGAAGAACAUAUGUGUAAGUAACUGUGCACAUCUUGACGGUACCUAAUCAGAAAGCCACGGCUAACUACGUG
Molecule: ribosomal RNA, 497 nt
Filed under: uncultured bacterium
Lineage: Bacteria
Description: partial 16S ribosomal RNA
Rfam family: Bacterial small subunit ribosomal RNA
Source: RNAcentral